This 480-nucleotide long non-coding RNA is filed under the name Carica papaya (papaya). RNAcentral describes it as "long non-coding RNA (CPAP_LNC002870)". Lineage: Eukaryota; Viridiplantae; Streptophyta; Magnoliopsida; Brassicales; Caricaceae. The record is from RNAcentral.
AAAAGAGGAAAGAAAAAAAGGGAGGAAAGGAAAAAAAAGAGAGAAGAGAGAUCGGGGAAAAGAGAAGGUUCGAGAGAGAGAGAGAUGAGCCGGAGCGGAGAGGAGAGAGAAGAGAGAGAGGAGGAGACAGAGGACGGUGACAGAGCAAGCCAAGGGAAGGAGGAAAAUGGAGACAGGAGGUACGGUAAAAUUUUGAGUUCUUGUAUAGGUGUGGAGUGAUUUCGAAUCUGUGAUCUUAAGUUGAGAAAUCUAGGUUCCGUUUAGUAUGUAGAGCAAUAGACUACGAGGUAGAGACAAGUGGUUGUGGAUGGCAGGUGGAAUUGUGGAGGUGCUCACGGAGGAGGCCGCGAGAAGAGAGAGAAUGAAGAUGUUAGAGAGUGGGAGAGAUCCGUGAGAGAGUGUGGUUAUUUUGUGUAACAUGAGUGUGAGUACAUAGUGAAGGCCACGGGAGGAGAGAGUGAACGAGGAGGUCGGUGAGUG